Molecule: transfer RNA, 73 nt
Filed under: Zhuliangozyma blackwelliae
Lineage: Eukaryota; Fungi; Ascomycota; Pichiomycetes; Serinales; Debaryomycetaceae
Description: Candida blackwelliae tRNA-Cys
Rfam family: tRNA
About the family: Transfer RNA (tRNA) molecules are approximately 80 nucleotides in length.
Source: RNAcentral
CACUAUAUUAAUUUUAUGGUUAAAAUGAUUAAUUGCAAAUUAAUUUUAAAGGGUUCGAUUCCCUAUAUAGUGU